GACGAACGCUGGCGGCGUGCUUAACACAUGCAAGUCGAACGGAAAGGCCCUGCUUUUGUGGGGUGCUCGAGUGGCGAACGGGUGAGUAACACGUGAGUAACCUGCCCUUGACUUUGGGAUAACUUCAGGAAACUGGGGCUAAUACCGGAUCGGAGCUCCUGCUGCAUGGUGGGGGUUGGAAAGUUUCGGCGGUUUGGGAUGGACUCGCGGCUUAUCAGCUUGUUGGUGGGGUAGUGGCUUACCAAGGCUUUGACGGGUAGCCGGCCUGAGAGGGUGACCGGCCACAUUGGGACUGAGAGACGGCCCAGACUCCUACGGGAGGCAGCAGUGGGGAAUAUUGCACAGUGGGCGGAAGCGUGAGGCAGCAACGCCGCGUGCGGGAUGACGGCCUUCGGGUUGUAAACCGCUUUCGCCUGUGACGAAGCGUGAGUGACGGUAAUGGGUAAAGAAGCACCGGCUAACUACGUG
Molecule: ribosomal RNA, 468 nt
Filed under: uncultured bacterium
Lineage: Bacteria
Description: partial 16S ribosomal RNA
Rfam family: Bacterial small subunit ribosomal RNA
Source: RNAcentral